Molecule: ribosomal RNA, 155 nt
Filed under: Aristaeella lactis
Lineage: Bacteria; Bacillati; Bacillota; Clostridia; Eubacteriales; Aristaeellaceae
Description: partial 16S rRNA. Bacterial SSU
Rfam family: Bacterial small subunit ribosomal RNA
Source: RNAcentral
UUAAACGGAAGAGUUUGAUCCUGGCUCAGGACGAACGCUGGCGGCGUGCCUAACACAUGCAAGUCGAGCGGGGACAUUGCGACGGACAUGAAGUUUUCGGAUGGAUUGAAAGAUGUAAUGUUCUAGCGGCGGACGGGUGAGUAACGCGUGAGCAA